AUCUCUGUGUGUUCAAGGAUACAACAAGCAUGGAGACACAUGGCUUUAAUCUCAAUACCAACCAUACAAGACCUGAAGGUCUGUAUAAACAGGCAGUGACAAGGCAGUCAUGUGGUUGUGUUUACAACCAAUGAGAAGGCAGAACAGAAAGUCUAUA
Non-coding RNA from Peromyscus maniculatus bairdii (prairie deer mouse), 157 nucleotides. NCBI's taxonomy places the organism in Eukaryota, Metazoa, Chordata, Mammalia, Rodentia, Cricetidae. The record is from RefSeq and is a predicted model, not a curated record.